Molecule: microRNA, 24 nt
Filed under: Caenorhabditis briggsae
Lineage: Eukaryota; Metazoa; Nematoda; Chromadorea; Rhabditida; Rhabditidae
Description: Cbr-Novel-5_5p (mature (guide))
Source: RNAcentral
UUUGGACUGAGCUCUCCAAAACAU